AUGCUAAUUCCCUUCUCUCAGUAAUGGAGACCAGCUGAAAAUAAACUGCCUCCAGAUGCCCGGACUGCCCCAGCCCUCCCAAGCCUGCAGCUCCGGGGGCCUCAGAGAGCAGUUCACAAUGUUGGAGGGGGAUGAGGAAGCUGAGUCACCAAGACAUUGAACACAAAGUCACGGGUUCAAUCUGUGGCAGAGCCAGGAUUCAAACUCAGUUGUGGCUCUAGAAGCUAUGCUUGUCCCUACAACACUGCUGGCCUCUCCGGACACAGACCUCAGGCCCUGUGAUGUCUCCCUCAAUGCCCUAGUCCCAGUGGUCAAGGUCACGGUGCACUCAUUCAUUCAUUUAUGUAUCAAGCACCGGGCUGGUUCUGGGGUCUAAUGAUGAUGAAACAAAUACAGUCUGUUCUCUCAGA
Long non-coding RNA from Hyaena hyaena (striped hyena), 410 nucleotides. RefSeq lists it as uncharacterized. Lineage: Eukaryota; Metazoa; Chordata; Mammalia; Carnivora; Hyaenidae. The record is from RefSeq and is a predicted model, not a curated record. The transcript is spliced from 2 exons.